AGUGAACGCUGGCGGUAGGCCUAACACAUGCAAGUCGAACGGCAGCACAGUAAGAGCUUGCUCUUACGGGUGGCGAGUGGCGGACAGGUGAGGAAUACAUCGGAAUCUACUUUUUCGUGGGGGAUAACGUAGGGAAACUUACGCUAAUACCGCAUACGACCUACGGGUGAAAGCAGGGGAUCUUCGGACCUUGCGCGAUUGAAUGAGCCGAUGUCGGAUUAGCUAGUUGGCGGGGUAAAGGCCCACCAAGGCGACGAUCCGUAGCUGGUCUGAGAGGAUGAUCAGCCACACUGGAACUGAGACACGGUCCAGACUCCCACGGGAGGCAGCAGUGGGGAAUAUUGGACAAAGGGCGCAAGCCUGAUCCAGCCAUACCGCGUGGGUGAAGAAGGCCUUCGGGUUGUAAAGCCCUUUUGUUGGGAAAGAAAAGCAGCAGGUUAAUACCCCGCUGUUCUGACGGUACCCAAAGAAUAAGCACCGGCUAACUUCGUG
RNAcentral lists this ribosomal RNA (492 nucleotides) under uncultured bacterium. RNAcentral describes it as "partial 16S ribosomal RNA". It matches the Rfam family "Bacterial small subunit ribosomal RNA", at positions 29 to 507 of the family's 1533-position model. The record is from RNAcentral.